This 374-nucleotide ribosomal RNA is filed under the name uncultured Gillisia sp. Its description in RNAcentral is "bacterial SSU rRNA". It matches the Rfam family "Bacterial small subunit ribosomal RNA", at positions 406 to 777 of the family's 1533-position model. The record is from RNAcentral. Lineage: Bacteria; Pseudomonadati; Bacteroidota; Flavobacteriia; Flavobacteriales; Flavobacteriaceae.
GGAAGACGGCCCUAUGGGUUGUAAACUGCUUUCCCNGAGGAAGAAACCCUCCCUUGCGAGGGAGCUUGACGGUACUCUGCGAAUAAGGAUCGGCUAACUCCGUGCCAGCAGCCGCGGUAAUACGGAGGAUCCAAGCGUUAUCCGGAAUCAUUGGGUUUAAAGGGUCCGUAGGCGGGACAAUCAGUCAGCGGUGAAAGUCUGUGGCUCAACCAUAGAAUUGCCAUUGAUACUGUUGUUCUUGAAUACUUAUGAAGUGGUUGGAAUAUGUAGUGUAGCGGUGAAAUGCAUAGAUAUUACAUAGAACACCGAUUGCGAAGGCAGAUCACUAAUAAUUUAUUGACGCUGAUGGACGAAAGCGUAGGUAGCGAACAGGA